CGUUCGACCAUUCUGUUGAGGGACGUUACAAGGGUAGGUUCGUGCUUGUGGCGCGUGUGAAUCUUACAGACGCCAAGCCAAAUAUUUUCAAGUCAGACAUUUUGCACCAAAACAAUACUUUAGGUUGUGAAGAGAAGAUUGACAUUGCAGGAAUCUGACAGUUUGACAUCGUGUUAGUGUUGUCGUGUGUGUUUCAACCUGAAAUUCAGUGUCAUUGCCUUUGAAAACGUUGGAUAAGUGUUUGCCAAUAGAAGAGUGACGCCGCCUGGAAAGUUCCGCAACGACACCGUCGCACAUUUUUGCAAUGGGCAGUCGUCGUUUCUUCUCGCCAUAGUUUUGUGAAAGAUUUGAACAAGAGAGAAGAUGGAUCCAGAAUCGGCUCUUGGACAGUUGCUGCAGGCUGCCAUGCUUGUUGGUGCUGGAUCAACACGUCUGAAUACGACUCCGAUUGUUCCCGGAAUGAAAACGGAAUUUCCAGGACCUCCACCCGUGUACGAUGGGCAUGGUUUCGGCCCGCCCGUCAUCCUGGAUUUGUCUCCCCGUGGUGUCGACCACCUUCCAUCCAUCCAGUCGCCUUACACUCCUGUGACGGUAGACGGAGAAAGUGGAGGAGAGAUGGAGACGCGAGUCAAACGCGAAGUCAAGACGGAAUCACCGGAUUUCGCCGCCGGUGAUGACGAGAGUGAAGAUGACGACCAAGUGGAUAGCGGCGAACUAGAGGACGAAAUGGGGGGAGGAUGUAGCCGGACUAUGGGACGGAUGCCGGAGGCGAGUCUCCUCAAAUGGCAUCAGAGGAGGCGAAAACAGCAGGAGGAGCAAUUGCAAGUCAUGCAGUCGGCUUCGGCGAUGACAUUGGACGGCUCUGUGCUAUCACCACCUUGUGAUCUCGAUCCCGCCGCUCCUGUUCCUAAGCGGAAAACUCUGAUCCAUCCGCAGCGCAAACAUAACGCAACAGCCUCCGCUUCAUCGAAUGUCGCCAUUCCCGUUGGCAUUGCCGUCGCCAGGCAGCGCAGGGACAAAUGUCGGUCCGAUACGCCCAUGCCGCCCGUCCAGCCGAAAGCCAGACGUGCCGCUCAGUCCAGUCCUGUUUCUUACCCCACGGAUUCCAUGUGCAUGUCGAAUCCGUCGAUUGGGGCCACUGAUCAACAUCCGUUUAACAGCCCUUCUUCACUAGCUGGCCUAAGUGCAAAUUAUCCGGGCGGAAGAGCCGUUUAUAAUCCAACGGCCCUUUACGCUGGUCAUCCGACACCCAUUGCCGCCAACGCUGCCAAUUGGGCUUGGCCGAACGCGGCGGACUACAGUGCCGCCGCCGCAGCUCACUCGCUAUGGUCGGCGACGGAUGUGAACUCCAUCAUGCGCUAUUCCACUUAUCCUCCUAGCGCACAGGCAUCUAACGUCUCUUCAUCCCUCCUUCAUCAGCAUCAUCAUCCGGUCGGUGGAAUGACUCCUCCGCCAUUUCUGCUGAUUCCGACCGCCUGCCUCGAUCCCUAUCAACGAGCGGCCACAGUUUAUUGGCAGAGCUAUGCCGCACCGGCUCAGUCGCCUUGGGGUCUCCCGCCAGAUAUGGCAGCGUCUCCGACAGCUUCAUGGGCUCUCCAUCCACCGGUCAGAUCGGCUUUUGAAUUGCCGAAUCUUCGAGCUGACGUCACGCCGUACGAGGACCCUACGACCCACGCAUCCAAGCCGGCAUGCGUCAUAAGCAGUCCUCCGCCCGCCAUGGCAGAAAUUAAGGAAGAGCGAAUCAGUCCAGAACCGCCUAGCCAUGUUGCGGAGAAAGUGGAACCUUCGAUCCCGUUGGAAAGGGCCCAGCCGCUAGAUUCCAGCACAGCGACGGAGCCGGCGAGCAUCCGAGUCAGAGACAACCUCACAAUCGGAUGGGUCAGUCGGGAUCCGUCCAUCCGAUCUCCCUCUACGUCAUUCGAUGAUGAAAAUGUCCCGCGUUCAUUAUCGACGGGUCACGGCGACAGUCCAGCGCCGGUGGCGGAUUAUUCCGGAUUGCAGCUCUUAUCGGAUAGUAUCGAACAAUUCGUGUCGGCCGAUCAGUCCGUUCAAUUGGCGAAUGAGCCGCAAACGAAAGAGGAGCAGCCUUGCAACGACAACGUGAGCGCGGUGGAAAUGGCCGGAAACGCGUUGGAUGUCUUGUGCGCGGCCGCUUUGUACCAGCAGUCAGAUUCGCCUCAAUCGAGCGAACCGAGAGACAUUUCACCGGCCACGUCAUGCCCACGCCCAACCGGAUUUCAAGUGGAAUUCGACUUCCGUUCCAAACUGGCCGAGUUGCAGCGCAAGUACAAAGAGAAACAAAAGGAGCUGAGUAGUCUGAAAUUCAAAAAGAAGUCGGACAAGAAGAAGAAGAAGAAGAAACGAUCCAGCUCGGACAAAGAGGACAAAGCUGGUCGUAGACGGAACAGUAGCAGCAGCAGCAGCCGGGACGGUAGCCACCAUUCGGCAACUAAGCAACAAGAGCAGUCAAGCGAGUCGGGCAAAAUCGUUUCGGCGCCAGUCGACUUUAUCGUCCCCGGUCGUUUAGACUUGCCUUCUUCUACGCAUCGCUCCGCGGGUGUUGAGGUGGAAUUGCCGAGGAUUCCGACUUCGUACGCUGCCGCUUUGGCGUCCGCUGCGACAUCUAUGGCUCCAUCCGUACCGGCCAGCGAGACAACCACGGUAGAGAAAAAGAAACGCAAGCCGGAUUGCCCUGUGCGCAAACAAGAUUCCGAGUUGACUGAAACGAUCGUGCCCAGCAAGAAGCGCAAAUUCUUCCAACUGUUGCAGUGGUGCCAUUCGGCUGAUGCGACCAGUAAAAAGAACAAAAAAAAGAAUUCUUCGGGACACGAUGCGAAGAGUCCCAUCAAACCAAAAAUUAAACCCAAGCUUAAAGCCGAAGUCCAGGUGAAGCAGCUGAACAGCAGCAGCAGCGAGGAAAGUGAAGAAGAAUUGAAAGCAGGCGAAGAAGACAUGCCGGAGGAAGACAGCGACCGACUGGAACGACAUUGUUUGCCAGCUUUGCAAUUUCUCCAAUUGAGCGAUGAUAGCGGUGCGGAAAUGGAUACCAUCCCUGUGGCUUCUCCUCCUCCGCCGGCUCCAAGUCCUCCACCGGCUCCAAGUCCUCCGCCACCUGUGCCGCCUACACCUCCACCUUUAGUGGCAGAACCGGUGAUUGAGAUCCCAGUGAUCGAUCCCGAACCUAAAAUAAGUGAUCCGGAACCGAGUGAUCCGGAACCGAGUGAUAGCACCACCACCACCACCACUAUCAAGUCGCCAUGGUUACUGACGCAAGAUCUACUACAAGAUGGACUACGCGUGCUGAUAGCGGAGGAGGGACUGUUCCAUGGUGGCUCCGUAUCGGGCAUCCGGCCACCCGACAUUUAUGGUGUCGUCGUAGAUGGCGAACGUGGCAGCCGGCCCAGGAUUCUUUCGACGGAAGAACUCCUCCACGAAGCAUUGUUGGAAGUUUGUCCGCUCGGCCUAAGUCAAUUGCAGGUCGGGACGCGUGUUUGUGGCUAUUGGAGCCGCAAGUCACGCUGCCUCUAUCCCGGCGUAGUUUCCAACGUUCAUCCGGCAGGUCCACCGAACAACGCCGGCAGCCGUAGUGUCACGCGCGAGGACGAGAUCGAUGUCGAGUUUGACGACGGCGACAGCGGCCGUAUUCCCGUCAGUCAAAUUAGACUCCUUCCGCCAGAUUAUCCCGUAUUAGAAAGGGAUCCAAAUCCAUUGUUGAAGAUUGAAAGCCGACGCCACAAGAGGCGCAUUUCCGAGCCGGCUCCGAUUCCUGUAGCGGCUGUCAAACCGUCGGUUCACCAAGAGCCAGCAGAAGGGGUUGCGGAAGAGGUGGACGGGCCGGCGGAGAAGAAGAACAAAAAGGCGGAAGGUGACGAGUCCAAAGAAAACAACGACGAUGGUAACGCCCUAUUAAAAAAGUGUAGAAAGAACAAGAAACACAAGAAGAAGCACAAGAAAAAGCGCAAAGCCGAAACGUCGGAUGAGACGCUGGCGGAGCAGCCGGAUUUGAUCAUUCCAAUCAGUCCCGGAUUGACGAUCGAUCACGCCGUCGAGAGUGCUGUGGCCAACGACAGCGAGCCAAUCGUCAAAAUGGAAACGAGGGCCAGCAAAGAAGCGGUGAACUACUCUGCUUCGCCGAUUCCUCGCCGGUCGGCAGCAGCCAAGACGAAAUCUCCAGAGCCCCAGCAGCAGGUCGAGCAGCAGCAGCAGCCGCAGCCGCGCAAAGCCAACAAAAGCAAAAUGGCAGCUUUCCUUCCGGAACGGCAGUUGUGGCAGUGGUUGGGCGCCAGUUUCAAGAAGGCAUCCAAAGGCAAAGGACGCAAGGAGUUUUACAAAGCCAUCCAUCGUGGAGACGAAAUCAUCCGCGUGGGUGAUUGCGCCGUGUUCUUAUCGGCCGGUAGGCCUGAUCGUCCCUAUGUCGGCCGUAUCGAGCUUCUCUGGCAAUCGUGGGGUGGUUCCAUGACAGUUAAAGUCCGCUGGUUCUAUCACCCGGAAGAGACUUGCGGAGGACGGCGAUUGACUCACCUCAAGAUUCCGGGUGCGUUGUUUGAGUCAAACCACGUCGACGAGAAUGACGUCCAGACGAUCUCACAUUGCUGUACCGUCUGUUCGCUGGACGACUACCGCCUACUCUGCAAAGGCAAGCCUGACGUCAACUUAAAUUUGGACUCCACCAAUAAUUCUGGCUACGACCAAUUCUACCUGGCCGGUUUUUAUGAUCCUACAUCCGGCCAUUUGAGCUUCGAGUCAGACGUUCUGGAACAGCAGCAGCAGCAACAGCAGUAGUCCUGAGCAGUACAUAGUCUUGUCUCUUAAACAUUUUCUCGCAAUUGUUAUCCGGUGAAGGUUAAAAGCGUCUGUAGUGCAAUACCGUUUCACAGAGCAUGUCCCUCUUUUCUGGUUAUCCCCGGCAGCCUUAUAGCACCUGACGUGUCUCCGCUUCAAGGUCCAUGUAGAAACCUACCCGCGUGACAUCAAGAAAAAACAAACAACAACAUAAAAAAAAAAGGACGCCUCUACAUUUAGUCUGGUUUACAUGUGAUACUUAUCCAACAAUUUCUUGGCUUCUAUAUAUUAUUAUAUACAGUCCAUAUAAUAUGAUACAUAAUCAUAACUAUGUCAAAUGUAAAUAAGUGAAAAGUGUAUCUAUUUUGAAAAUUCUAACUUGCAAACCAAUCAAUAACUGUUUGGGCAAUUACUCCGGCAAUGAAAACAAAAACAAACAAACAAAAAAAUAAUAAUGUAAAACUAAGAAGUACCUGUUGCAACGCUUUUCGUACGCAAUUGAACCUGAUUGCGUGCCCUAAAGAAUGUCCUGAUUUCUUCAUUGUUUGUUAUUGUGUACCGUAUCGAUGCACGUUAGCCAUGUGUACCUUUGACGGCGCAUCGUAUUUAAAUUUGGACAAUAUGACUUGGUUGAUCCUACGUAGUUGGAAAGCCAAACCAAUCGUUGUCGUUGUUUGUUUUAACAACAAGUUGCGAUAGAUCCAAUCGUUGUUUCGGAAUAUUCGUCUGAUUUUUUUAAAAUCCAUUGUGUGUAAUUAUGGAUUUUUAUGAUUAAAUUGCUUUGCCGAUCCAAA
Molecule: unclassified non-coding RNA, 5576 nt
Filed under: Daphnia magna
Lineage: Eukaryota; Metazoa; Arthropoda; Branchiopoda; Diplostraca; Daphniidae
Description: protein winged eye, transcript variant X3
Source: RNAcentral